Long non-coding RNA from Rosa rugosa (rugosa rose), 1652 nucleotides. RefSeq lists it as uncharacterized. NCBI's taxonomy places the organism in Eukaryota, Viridiplantae, Streptophyta, Magnoliopsida, Rosales, Rosaceae. The transcript is spliced from 3 exons. The record is from RefSeq and is a predicted model, not a curated record.
UCUCUCUCUCUCUAAAUCCAAACCUAAACGAGAUCUAGAUUUUUCUCAGCCGUUUUCAAUCUCAGCAAAGAACUCGAUGCCGCCAUUGACGUGCUUCCAAGCUCUGCAUCGAGGUCCAAACGACGUUAUAGUCAAGCCAAUGAGGAAUUCUCGAGAAGAACGUCUCUCCGUUUGAAGCCUUCAACUUUGUUUCUUAAUUUCUCUCUGGAUCUUACCCCUAGCCGCUUAGUCUUCAGGACUCGAUAAAUUCGUAUAUUGCUUGGGUUUUUUCGCUUGUGCAAGGGAAGAUAAACUUGGUAUUGUUCCUAACUUUCAUUACGUUCCUCGGUGAAUGUGUCUUCUUCUUUCUUUCAUAGCCUGAUGAAGUAUUCUUUAAUCUGUGAUGUGAAUGCUCUGGCCUUCUUUGUUUCCUGUAGUUAUCCGUUGUGUGACUCCUGCUAUUUUCUUGUAUGCCUUGUUUGUUUGGAAUGAGAUUGGUAAUGAGUCCAACAAAAGUUAUUGAUGAAAUGACAAUUUUUAAACCGUAUGAAGAUUGUGCGAGGAUGUUAGAGGUCAGAAUAUUCACUUUGUGGUCAUUGUUUUACCCAAGGUUGCCAUUCUGAGUACUAUGAGGUUGAACAUACAAAAAAGUGCUCGCUUUUCAGAUUCUCCAGGAAAUUUGGCUUCGUGGUUGUGUAAUGAUUUCCCUGUGAAGAUUAUCUUUUUAUUCAUCUCUUUAUUCUGACAGGAUCAUCCUAGUUUUGAACAGAUGCCUUUUAGUUAUUUCUGAGAUAAUAUCUACUUCUGAUAUACAUUAUGAAUGAUAUGUGUUAUUGGUCUUGUGAAGGACCUUUAGAAAUCACCCAAACCCCUAUGUUUGAUAGUACUUCAGUAGUUCUUGAAUGUAUAUUAUCUUUGAGUUCAGACCAUUGAUAAUGAGAUAUCAUGCAGUAUAAUAUCGAUAUAUGUUCCAAUUAUUAAAAUAACUCCAUAUGCUUCUUUAUGAGAAAUUCUGAAGAUUGAUGUCUAUGGUCAGGAUAUUGGAUUUAGUGUGGAGUAUACAAAUGCGUGUGGGGAGAAAUCUCUCAUUUUACCUUACAAACGUUACGAGUCUGACCAAGGGAAUUUCUGCACGUGCGAGGCUGGAAACUACAAACUCGUUUGGGACAAUUCAUAUUCAAGUUUCUUUAAGAAGGUAUGCAGACAUGUUUGGUUCUAUGUUCUGUUUAUGUUUCACCUUCCCACUCGUCUUGUCAUAUCAUCACUUUGAAAAAUCACCGGACCAUUUGGGAUUUGACGGUUGAAAUUAUGGUAAUACCGCUAAUAAAAAUGUAAAUCUCUGGAAAUUUACUCUACACACGACUGACUUUUUUUAAUGUCACUUGUGUCAGCUCGCGGCUCAAUUGACCUCUUUUGCUUACACUCUCAACAUUUUUUUUCAGUAAUCUCAUAUAUUAUCAGUAGAUAUACUGGCUUGAAGCCAUUUCAAUUUCCCCAUCUCUACUGGAUGAUAAUCUUCUGAAAAUAAUUGAUUAUUGAUCUGUCAGGUCAUAACUUCUUAAUAAAUAAUUGAUUAUUGAUCUGUCAGGUCAUAAAUAAUCUGCUUUACUGCACCUUGCGGUUUGCUCCACAGGCCUUGCAUAGACUUGGAACCAAACCUUGCAUUCAGUGGU